Molecule: ribosomal RNA, 270 nt
Filed under: uncultured bacterium
Lineage: Bacteria
Description: partial 16S ribosomal RNA
Rfam family: Bacterial small subunit ribosomal RNA
Source: RNAcentral
AAGAUGGCGACCGGCGCACGGGUGAGUAACACGUAUCCAACCUGCCGAUAACUCUGGAAUAGCCUUUCGAAAGAAAGAUUAAUACCGGAUAGUAUACGAAUAUCGCAUGAUAUUUUUAUUUAAAGAAUUUCGGUUAUCGAUGGGGAUGCGUUCCAUUAGGUUGUUGGCGGGGUAACGGCCCACCAAGCCUUCGAUGGAUAGGGGUUCUGAGAGGAAGGUCCCCCACAUUGGAACUGAGACACGGUCCAAACUCCUACGGGAGGCAGCAUG